GAUGAACGCUGGCGGCGUGCUUAACACAUGCAAGUCGAACGGUGAAGGCGGAGCUUGCUCUGCUGGAUCAGUGGCGAACGGGUGAGUAACACGUGAGCAAUCUGCCCCUGACUCUGGGAUAAGCGCUGGAAACGGCGUCUAAUACUGGAUACGAGCUGCGAAGGCAUCUUCAGCAGCUGGAAAGAAUUUCGGUCAGGGAUGAGCUCGCGGCCUAUCAGCUUGUUGGUGAGGUAAUGGCUCACCAAGGCGUCGACGGGUAGCCGGCCUGAGAGGGUGACCGGCCACACGGGAACUGAGACACGGCCAAGACUCCUACGGGAGGCAGCAGUGGGAAUAUUGCACAAUGGGCGAAAGCCUGAUGCAGCAACGCCGCGUGAGGGACGACGGCCUUCGGGUUGUAAACCUCUUUUAGCAGGGAAGAAGCGAAAGUGACGGUACCUGCAGAAAAAGCGCCGGCUAACUACGUG
Molecule: ribosomal RNA, 467 nt
Filed under: uncultured bacterium
Lineage: Bacteria
Description: partial 16S ribosomal RNA
Rfam family: Bacterial small subunit ribosomal RNA
Source: RNAcentral